GUAAUAAUAUUUAUGAAAACAAAAAAUCAUGGCGGUAUCUUAAGCUUUUCAGAGGAAUUUGCUCUUUAAUGGAUAAAACACCCAAAUCUUACUAAAAUUGGUAAGACAGUUUGUAUACCACUAUUUAAGUAAUUAUUAAUUAUAAUUGCUGUAAAUUUUAAACAAAAAAAAAGUUAAGUCAAGGUGCAGCAUAAAUUUUAGGAUGAAGUGAAUUACAAUGCUUUUUAGAAAAGCGAUUUAAAAAAAAAAAUUAGGAUUUGAAAGUAAAAAUUUUAAUAGAAUGAUUAUUUGAAUUAAGCUCUGAGAUAUGUAC
RNAcentral lists this ribosomal RNA (313 nucleotides) under Amblyomma cajennense (Cayenne tick). RNAcentral's name for it is "partial 12S ribosomal RNA". The record is from RNAcentral. Lineage: Eukaryota; Metazoa; Arthropoda; Arachnida; Ixodida; Ixodidae.